Molecule: ribosomal RNA, 321 nt
Filed under: uncultured bacterium
Lineage: Bacteria
Description: bacterial SSU rRNA
Rfam family: Bacterial small subunit ribosomal RNA
Source: RNAcentral
GAUGAACGCUAGCGACAGGCUUAACACAUGCAAGUCGAGGGGCAGCGGGGGAGGAAGCUUGCUUUCUCCUGCCGGCGACCGGCGCACGGGUGAGUAACACGUAUGCAACCUGGCCGUCACAGGUGGAUAACCGGAAGAAAUUCCGACUAAUACAGCAUAACACUCCUGAGGGACAUCCUUCGGGAGUCAAAGGAGGCGACUCCGGUGACGGAUGGGCAUGCGGCGCAUUAGGUAGUUGGUAGGGUAACGGCCUACCAAGCCGACGAUGCGUAGGGGUUCUGAGAGGAAGGUCCCCCACAUUGGAACUGAGACACGGUCCAA